RNAcentral lists this long non-coding RNA (1061 nucleotides) under Catharus ustulatus (Swainson's thrush). Its description in RNAcentral is "lncRNA (ENSCUSG00005010540.1)". The record is from RNAcentral. Lineage: Eukaryota; Metazoa; Chordata; Aves; Passeriformes; Turdidae.
UGCAAGUUUUUGAUUUGCAUGUCUUUAGUGUAGGAAUAAAGCUGUUUGGGAAAAAAAAUGUAUCAGUUAAGCAAUUUUGCUAAAUGUAUGAAAAAAUGAAAUGUUAUGAGAUGAAGCAUGUAUUCAUUAUGAAAUUAAAUUGAUGUUUGAAGCUAAAAAAAAUUAUUCAGGCCAAACAUCAUUUUGAAUAUGUUAGCAGAUCAUAUCUUGAUUUAGUUGUGUGUUUGGUGAUAGCAGAAACCAAAGAGUUUCCAUCUGGAGGGAAGAAGGCAAAUGGUAUUUCCAAAUGACACAGGGUAACCUGCUCCUUUCUGCAGGAAAACAACACCACCAGACACAGCAGUUUGCUCUAGAUAGGAAAAUUCCCAUGGAGAACAUCUCAUUCCCAUGGAGAACAUCCCAUUCUUAUGGAGAACUUCCCAUUCUUAUGGAGAACUUCCCAUUAGAAAGGAGAACAUCCCAUUCCCAUGGAGAACAUCUCAUUCCUAUGGAGAACACCCCAUUCCCAUGGAGAACACCCCAUUCCCACAGAGAACAUCCCAUUCCCAUGGAGAACAUUCCAUUCCUAUGGAAAACAUCUCAUUCUUAUGAAGAACAUCCCAUUCCUGUGGAGAACAUCCCAUUACCAAGGAGAACACCCUAUUCCUAUGGAGAACAUCCCACUCCUGUGGAAAACACUUCAUUGCCUUAGAGAACAUCCCAUUCUCUUGGAGAACAACCCAUUCGCUCGGAGAACUUCCCAUUCCUAUGGAGAACAUUCCAUUACCAUGGAGAACAUCCCAUUCCUAUGGAGAACACCCCAUUCCCUUGGAGAACCUCCCAUUCCUACAGAGAACAUCCCAUUCCCUUGGAGAACAUCCCAUUACCGAGGAGAACAUCCCAUUCCCACAGCAAACAUCCCAUUCCCUUGGAGAACAUCCAUUCCCACAGAGAACAUUCAGCAUCCUGUGCUGCCUCUGCCCAGCACCACAGUGCCACGAGGUGUGAGAUCCAUGCUCAUGGUCCCAUUCCCAUCUGGGCUGGGAGCCUCCAGAUGGCCGGAGACACGAGGUUUUAUGUAG